GGUAAGGAGAAAUCUGAAUUACAAGAAUGCGCUUUGUGCUGCAUUCUCACAUAUUUGGUGGUUUCCUCCCUUAUCCCUCUUCCUCGAAUUUCCUUUUACGAUCCCCACACAGGAGGUAAACAUCCCACCGUCCCACGCUUUUCUGCUGUGUCAAUUGCACAUCCCUACGGUUCGCUACUCAAUGAGGCUGCGCCUAGGCCUGUAUCCAAUCGGAUACAGCCUAGGGCUCCUCGGGGCGGGGAUUGGUUCCUCAGCUCUUGCGAGUUUCCCUUAACUGCAGCGACCCGACAACCGGAAGUGAGCCAGAGAGUCGACAAAGUUAUUUGUUGUUGCCCGAAAUCUGGAGAAUAAAGCUCUACUGUGUGAUGGCUGCUGAGAAGGUGCCGGUGAACAGCGUGGAAGAAGAGCAACCCCUCUCCGGCGGCCGAGUAGCUGGCUGCUCAGAAACGCGAACAGAGACUGCACAAAUGCCAGGAGCUGCACCUGAAGCGGGUGAGUAGUCCCGGAGGCCAACUCAGACCUCUCAGUUGGCCAGGCCCAUGCGGCGUUCACAGAGGGACGAGGAAGCUGAACCAGUCGGCCUUACAGACGGUAGGGCUGAAUUAUCUUCCAAGAUGAAACAUCUAGCCCGGUGAUUCUCAACCUUGGCAGCACGUUGGAAUCGUUUUGAGAACUUUUUCAGAAAUACACAUGCUCAGGCUUCAUUUCUGUAGUGUCUGAUGUCGCUGACUCAUAAUUGACUAGUUUGAAGAAUGGUCCCAUUCACCAUAUUUCUUUUGGAUUAGGCAGAGGUAACAGAGUAUACAUGAAAAUUCUGUGUCAAAGUGGUGUGACAUACUAAAACCGUUGCCAUUGAGUUGAUUCAUAGCAGCCCUAUACGACAAAGUAGAACUGCCCCAUAGGGUUUCCAAGGCUAUCAUCUUCACAGUUUAUGGAAGCAGACUGCCACAUCUUUCUCCUGCAGAGUGGCUGGUGGGUUCAAACCACCAACCCCUCAGUUAGCAGCUGAGCACUUAACCACUGUGCCACCAGUAACAUAUUUACUGCCCUCAUAUUUCAGUAUGAAUCUGAGUUAUUUCCCAAUCCUCAAUCCAGAUCAUCUGACAGUACUAACUUAUAAAUUAAAAUGAAAGUCAACAAAGUUCAUUAAACAGGUUUCUUUGUAGAAUGUUUUUCUUAAGGUAUUG
Trichechus manatus latirostris (Florida manatee) is the source of this 1187-nucleotide long non-coding RNA. RefSeq lists it as uncharacterized. Lineage: Eukaryota; Metazoa; Chordata; Mammalia; Sirenia; Trichechidae. The transcript is spliced from 2 exons. The record is from RefSeq and is a predicted model, not a curated record.